Molecule: long non-coding RNA, 128 nt
Filed under: dengue virus type 1
Lineage: Riboviria; Orthornavirae; Kitrinoviricota; Flasuviricetes; Amarillovirales; Flaviviridae
Description: dengue virus type I partial sfRNA1
Source: RNAcentral
GAGAAGUCAGGCCAGAUUAAGCCAUAGUACGGAAAGAGCUAUGCUGCCUGUGAGCCCCGUCCAAGGACGUAAAAUGAAGUCAGGCCGAAAGCCACGGAUUGAGCAAACCGUGCUGCCUGUGGCUCCAU